UACCCGCAGCACAAGUGGUGGUCAUUAUUAUUGGGCCUAAAGCGUCCGUAGCUGGCUUGUUAGAUGCCUGGGUAAAUCGAUGCGCUCAACGUAUCGAACACCGGGUAGACCGGCAAGCUUGGGACCGGGAGAGACGUGAGCUACUCGAGGGGUAGGGGUAAAAUCCUGUAAUCCUUCGGGGAGGACCAGUGGCGAAGGCGUCACGCUAGAACGGCUCCGACAGUGAGGGACGAAGCCCUGGGGCGCAAACCGG
Molecule: ribosomal RNA, 253 nt
Filed under: uncultured bacterium
Lineage: Bacteria
Description: partial 16S ribosomal RNA
Rfam family: Archaeal small subunit ribosomal RNA
Source: RNAcentral